Molecule: microRNA precursor, 107 nt
Filed under: Capitella teleta
Lineage: Eukaryota; Metazoa; Annelida; Polychaeta; Capitellidae
Description: microRNA mir-137
Source: RNAcentral
CUGCUCUUAGAUGCUCCGUUCUUGUGUAAUCUUGCAUAAUAGCAAUAAUUGCUAUUUAUUAUUGCUAUUAUGCAAGAUUACACAAGAACGGAGCAUCUAAGAACAGC